UCAGCCCAUGCUUAUCGCCGAUGUGUGAGGACGUAAAAUCAUGCAGCGCAUAAAGACUUGGAUGUAAUUUUAUGGACUGAAACUCAGUUGAGGUCAAGAGUUAAUACUAAAGACCGAACACUUGGCAGCAGCUUUCUUGGUUAGAUUCCAUUACAUGAAUUCUAUUAAAGUACCUUUAUGAAGAGGAAAUAGAGACAAGACAAUUCAUGGUCAGCAAAUAAAACUGGAAUUGUUAUUCAGAGUUGGAAAAUGUUGGUCGCCAAAGAAAUCUUUUGAGCGAUCAAGUUAUUUAUUUUCAAGAAAGAAAACAAGGAAUUGGAUGCUGUUCACUGAUGAUGGAAAUUCCAUUUACAGUGUACUGCUUGAAUUUAAGUUUGGAUUAAACCUAUUAACUCCCA
This is a long non-coding RNA of Stylophora pistillata, 398 nucleotides long. The record is from RefSeq and is a predicted model, not a curated record. NCBI's taxonomy places the organism in Eukaryota, Metazoa, Cnidaria, Anthozoa, Scleractinia, Pocilloporidae.